RNAcentral lists this ribosomal RNA (2694 nucleotides) under Salmonella enterica subsp. enterica serovar Typhimurium. Its description in RNAcentral is "partial 23S ribosomal RNA". It matches the Rfam family "Bacterial large subunit ribosomal RNA". Lineage: Bacteria; Pseudomonadati; Pseudomonadota; Gammaproteobacteria; Enterobacterales; Enterobacteriaceae. The record is from RNAcentral.
GGGUUGUGAGGUUAAGCGACUAAGCGUACACGGUGGAUGCCCUGGCAGUCAGAGGCGAUGAAGGGCGUGCUAAUCUGCGAUAAGCGCCGGUAAGGUGAUAUGAACCGUUAUAACCGGCGAUACCCGAAUGGGGAAACCCAGUGUGAUUCGUCACACUAUCAUUAACUGAAUCCAUAGGUUAAUGAGGCGAACCGGGGGAACUGAAACAUCUAAGUACCCCGAGGAAAAGAAAUCAACCGAGAUUCCCCCAGUAGCGGCGAGCGAACGGGGAGGAGCCCAGAGCCUGAAUCAGCAUGUGUGUUAGUGGAAGCGUCUGGAAAGGCGCGCGAUACAGGGUGACAGCCCCGUACACAAAAGCGCAUGUGCUGUGAGCUCGAUGAGUAGGGCGGGACACGUGGUAUCCUGUCUGAAUAUGGGGGGACCAUCCUCCAAGGCUAAAUACUCCUGACUGACCGAUAGUGAACCAGUACCGUGAGGGAAAGGCGAAAAGAACCCCGGCGAGGGGAGUGAAAAAGAACCUGAAACCGUGUACGUACAAGCAGUGGGAGCNNNNNNNNNNNNNNNNNNNNGGGCGUUAAGUUGCAGGGUAUAGACCCGAAACCCGGUGAUCUAGCCAUGGGCAGGUUGAAGGUUGGGUAACACUAACUGGAGGACCGAACCGACUAAUGUUGAAAAAUUAGCGGAUGACCUGUGGCUGGGGGUGAAAGGCCAAUCAAACCGGGAGAUAGCUGGUUCUCCCCGAAAGCUAUUUAGGUAGCGCCUCGUGAAUUCAUCUCCGGGGGUAGAGCACUGUUUCGGCUAGGGGGCCAUCCCGGCUUACCAACCCGAUGCAAACUGCGAAUACCGGAGAAUGUUAUCACGGGAGACACACGGCGGGUGCUAACGUCCGUCGUGAAGAGGGAAACAACCCAGACCGCCAGCUAAGGUCCCAAAGUCAUGGUUAAGUGGGAAACGAUGUGGGAAGGCCCAGACAGCCAGGAUGUUGGCUUAGAAGCAGCCAUCAUUUAAAGAAAGCGUAAUAGCUCACUGGUCGAGUCGGCCUGCGCGGAAGAUGUAACGGGGCUAAACCAUGCACCGAAGCUGCGGCAGCGANNUGCUGGAGGUAUCAGAAGUGCGAAUGCUGACAUAAGUAACGAUAAAGCGGGUGAAAAGCCCGCUCGCCGGAAGACCAAGGGUUCCUGUCCAACGUUAAUCGGGGCAGGGUGAGUCGACCCCUAAGGCGAGGCCGAAAGGCGUAGUCGAUGGGAAACGGGUUAAUAUUCCCGUACUUGGUGUUACUGCGAAGGGGGGACGGAGAAGGCUAUGUUGGCCGGGCGACGGUUGUCCCGGUUUAAGCGUGUAGGUGUGUGUUCCAGGUAAAUCCGGUUCACUUUAACACUGAGGCGUGACGACGAGGCACUACGGUGCUGAAGCAACAAAUGCCCUGCUUCCAGGAAAAGCCUCUAAGCAUCAGGUAACAUCAAAUCGUACCCCAAACCGACACAGGUGGUCAGGUAGAGAAUACCAAGGCGCUUGAGAGAACUCGGGUGAAGGAACUAGGCAAAAUGGUGCCGUAACUUCGGGAGAAGGCACGCUGACACGUAGGUGAAGUGAUUUACUCAUGGAGCUGAAGUCAGUCGAAGAUACCAGCUGGCUGCAACUGUUUAUUAAAAACACAGCACUGUGCAAACACGAAAGUGGACGUAUACGGUGUGACGCCUGCCCGGUGCCGGAAGGUUAAUUGAUGGGGUCAGCGCAAGCGAAGCUCCUGAUCGAAGCCCCGGUAAACGGCGGCCGUAACUAUAACGGUCCUAAGGUAGCGAAAUUCCUUGUCGGGUAAGUUCCGACCUGCACGAAUGGCGUAAUGAUGGCCAGGCUGUCUCCACCCGAGACUCAGUGAAAUUGAACUCGCUGUGAAGAUGCAGUGUACCCGCGGCAAGACGGAAAGACCCCGUGAACCUUUACUAUAGCUUGACACUGAACAUUGAGCCUUGAUGUGUAGGAUAGGUGGGAGGCUUUGAAGUGUGGACGCCAGUCUGCAUGGAGCCGACCUUGAAAUACCACCCUUUAAUGUUUGAUGUUCUAACGUGGACCCGUAAUCCGGGUUGCGGACAGUGUCUGGUGGGUAGUUUGACUGGGGCGGUCUCCUCCUAAAGAGUAACGGAGGAGCACGAAGGUUGGCUAAUCCUGGUCGGACAUCAGGAGGUUAGUGCAAUGGCAUAAGCCAGCUUGACUGCGAGCGUGACGGCGCGAGCAGGUGCGAAAGCAGGUCAUAGUGAUCCGGUGGUUCUGAAUGGAAGGGCCAUCGCUCAACGGAUAAAAGGUACUCCGGGGAUAACAGGCUGAUACCGCCCAAGAGUUCAUAUCGACGGCGGUGUUUGGCACCUCGAUGUCGGCUCAUCACAUCCUGGGGCUGAAGUAGGUCCCAAGGGUAUGGCUGUUCGCCAUUUAAAGUGGUACGCGAGCUGGGUUUAGAACGUCGUGAGACAGUUCGGUCCCUAUCUGCCGUGGGCGCUGGAGAACUGAGGGGGGCUGCUCCUAGUACGAGAGGACCGGAGUGGACGCAUCACUGGUGUUCGGGUUGUCAUGCCAAUGGCACUGCCCGGUAGCUAAAUGCGGAAGAGAUAAGUGCUGAAAGCAUCUAAGCACGAAACUUGCCCCGAGAUGAGUUCUCCCUGAGACUUAGAGUCUCCUGAAGGAACGUUGAAGACGACC